AGCAUUCAUGAGAUUUUUCUUUGUGUUGAGCUGGUGGACAAAGACCUAAAAGGUGGGUGCUAAACAAAUGCUCUUUUGUAACUCAGGAUUCAUGGUUCUGUUCGCGUUUUGGUAGACACAAGAAGUAAUAUG
Molecule: small nucleolar RNA, 132 nt
Organism: Meriones unguiculatus (Mongolian gerbil)
Lineage: Eukaryota; Metazoa; Chordata; Mammalia; Rodentia; Muridae
Product: small nucleolar RNA SNORA40
Exons: 1
Source: RefSeq, a predicted model, not a curated record